This 197-nucleotide microRNA precursor is filed under the name Oryza nivara. RNAcentral describes it as "MIR812 microRNA precursor family". It matches the Rfam family "MIR812 microRNA precursor family". The record is from Rfam by way of RNAcentral. Lineage: Eukaryota; Viridiplantae; Streptophyta; Magnoliopsida; Poales; Poaceae.
AAUAAGUGCAGUUUUGCACUAUUCACGUUCAAUGUUUGACUGUUCGUCUUAUUUGAAAAAAAUUUAUGAUUAGUAUUUGUAUUGCUAUUAGAUGAUAAAACAUGAAUAGUACUCUAUGUGUGACUAAAUAUCUUCAAAUUUUUCAAAUAAGACGGAUGGUUAAACGUUGGGCACGGAUAUCCACGGCUGCACUUAUU